AUUGAACGCUGGCGGCAUGCCUUACACAUGCAAGUCGAACGGCAGCACGGGAGCAAUCCUGGUGGCGAGUGGCGAACGGGUGAGUAAAGUAUCGGAACGUGCCCAGUCGUGGGGGAUAACGUAGCGAAAGUUACGCUAAUACCGCAUACGAUCUAUGGAUGAAAGCGGGGGAUCGCAAGACCCAGCGCGAGCGGAGCGGCCGAUAUCCGAUUAGGGAGUUGGUGGGGUAAAGGCUCACCAAGCCGACGAUCUGUAGCUGGUCUGAGAGGACGACCAGCCACACUGGGACUGAGACACGGCCCAGACUCCUACGGGAGGCAGCAGUGGGGAAUUUUGGACAAUGGGCGAAGGCCUGAUCCAGCCAUGCCGCGUGCAGGAUGAAGGCCUUCGGGUUGUAAACUGCUUUUGUACGGAACGAAAAGGUUUGGCCUAAUAAGCUGAGCUCAUGACGGUACCGUAAGAAUAAGCACCGGCUAACUACGUGCCAGCCGCCGCGGUAA
Molecule: ribosomal RNA, 500 nt
Filed under: uncultured bacterium
Lineage: Bacteria
Description: partial 16S ribosomal RNA
Rfam family: Bacterial small subunit ribosomal RNA
Source: RNAcentral